Molecule: ribosomal RNA, 112 nt
Filed under: Pogona vitticeps (central bearded dragon)
Lineage: Eukaryota; Metazoa; Chordata; Lepidosauria; Squamata; Agamidae
Source: RNAcentral
ACUGUACUGCCCAGAACACACCCUGAUCUUGUCUGUUUUUGUAAGUUAAGCAUGGUUGACCUGGUUUGUACUUAAAUGGGAGGCCACCAAGGGAUCUCAUGGAUUGACAGGU